Molecule: ribosomal RNA, 253 nt
Filed under: uncultured bacterium
Lineage: Bacteria
Description: partial 16S ribosomal RNA
Rfam family: Bacterial small subunit ribosomal RNA
Source: RNAcentral
UACGUAGGGGGCUAGCGUUGCCCGGAAUCAUUGGGCGUAAAGAGCGUGUAGGCGGCCCGGUAAGUCCGCUGUGAAAGUCGGGGGCUCAACCCUCGGAUGCCGGUGGAUACUGUCGGGCUCGAGUACGGAAGAGGCGAGUGGAAUUCCUGGUGUAGCGGUGAAAUGCGCAGAUAUCAGGAGGAACACCUAUUGCGAAGGCAGCUCGCUGGGACGUUACUGACGCUGAGACGCGAAAACGUGGGGAGCGAACAGG